UGAUCUUUUCCAAAGACAGUAGGCGCAUAUGCAUAAUUGGUGAAUUCCAGCCUACCGAGGAACGAGUAGUGAAGAUUUUUUGAGAAAGAGUCUUUAUGCCCCUUCCGCGGUUGUGCGGAAGGGGCUUUUUG
This 131-nucleotide small RNA is filed under the name chicken gut metagenome. RNAcentral describes it as "Ribosomal protein L10 leader". It matches the Rfam family "Ribosomal protein L10 leader", at positions 12 to 129 of the family's 138-position model. From Rfam's summary of the family: This family is a putative r-protein leader autoregulatory structure found in B. subtilis and other low-GC Gram-positive bacteria. It is located in the 5' untranslated regions of mRNAs encoding ribosomal proteins L10 and L12 (rplJ-rplL). The record is from RNAcentral.